Molecule: microRNA precursor, 203 nt
Filed under: Oryza nivara
Lineage: Eukaryota; Viridiplantae; Streptophyta; Magnoliopsida; Poales; Poaceae
Description: MIR812 microRNA precursor family
Rfam family: MIR812 microRNA precursor family
Source: Rfam by way of RNAcentral
GAUAAGUACUCCCUCCGUCCUAAAUAAAAAAGCAAACUGUUCGUCUUAUAUAAUUUUUUUUUAUAAUUAGUAUUUUUAUUGUUGUUAGAUGAUAAAACAUGAUUAAUACCUUAUACGUGACUUAUCUUUUUAAACUUUUCAUAAUUUUUUUAAAUAAGACGAACGGUUAAAUGUUAGACACUGAAACCAGGUUUGUCUUUUUU